RNAcentral lists this long non-coding RNA (1514 nucleotides) under Homo sapiens (human). Its description in RNAcentral is "non-protein coding lnc-HMGN2-6:1". The record is from RNAcentral. Lineage: Eukaryota; Metazoa; Chordata; Mammalia; Primates; Hominidae.
AGUACCCGCGAGUGGCUUCAGGGAGCGCAAGGCCAGCUGAGUCUGGGCGCUGGAUGGGCGGCCUUGGCAUUAGGUCCAGAUUUGGGUCCUAAGUACUGUGCCCAACCGGCCCGAGGGGAAGGGGGAGGAGACAGGAACCGCGCCCAUUUUCCGGAUCAGGUUCUUGGAACCAGCCCGGAAAUCCUGGGACUCAAUCUGGGGGCCAGAUCUGGAGGCGAUGGUUUUUCUAGAGACGGGCUGAUGCAGCCCCAGUAUGCCGUCGCACUCAUUUCCCACAUUCCAGGAACGGUCCAGGUCUGCCCUUCAGCGGUUUGGGAACUCCGCGACGACUCCCUCUCUCCACAACUGCAGGGUGGGCCGCGCUCUGAAAACCUGGCAAAGCGAUGGGGGUCCCUCAGAGCCCCUCCUUCAUAUUCAGUUUCAAAAGGAUUUGGCAUUGGGGAAACCUUGGGACCUCAAGCCACAUGGAGAAAGAGCUCCAGGUCACAAGGGCUUGGACCUGAGGGCACCUCGGCUGGCUCCUUUCUCGUGCAGUCUUUGCAAAAGAGGACCAGGUGGUGGCCAGAAGGGCACUUUGAGGGCUGAAGAGCUCAAACUGCACAGGGAUAGGACCGAGGUGCAGAGUCCUUGGGGCCCUUUUUUUUUCUGUCAUAUCUUGUUUUGCCAUUCGGCCUGGAAAUACCUGGAAAUUCUUCCUGCCUGUUUUUCCCUCAGAAAAGUUUUUUUUAUGUAAAAGUGGCCAGGCACAACUGUAAUCCCAGCACUUUGGGAGGCCGAGGUGGGCGGAUUGCUUGAGGCCAGGGGUUCGAGACCAGCCUGGGCAACAUAGCAAGACCCCGUCUCUGCCAAAAAUACAACAAAUUAGCCAGGCGUGGAAACGCGCGCCUGUAAUCCUAACUGCUGGGGAGGCUGAGGCAGGAGACUCGCUUGAACCUGGGAGGCAGAGGUUACAGUGAGCCACCAAGAUCAAGAUCGUGCCACUGCACUCCAGCCUGGGCGACAGAGAAAACAGAAAAGGAAAAAAAAAAAAAAGAAAGGACAUCUCUGCCGGGCUCUGUGUGUGGCUCAUGCCUGCAAUAGCAACAUUUUGGGAGCCUGAGGCAGAGGGAUUGCUUGAGGCCAGGAGUUUGAGUCCAGUCUGGGCAACACUGAGAGACCCUGUCUCUACAAAAUAUAAACAAAAUUUGCCAGGUGCUGUCAUCCGCCUGUAGUCCCAGCUACUCCGGAGGCUGGGGUGGGAGGAUCACUUGAGCCCAGGAGGUCGAGGCUGCAGUGAGCAGCCACUCUAUCCUGGGUGACAGAGACCCUGUCUCUAAGAAAUGAAUGAAUGAACAUCUUGCUGUGAGAUGUGCUGUGUAACCCCUUUGCAAUGUCCUCCCGAGAACUUUGGUAAAGGCUUUUGCUUUUUUGCAGUGCUUUUUGGAGUUGGAUUGGGGGUGUGUGUGUGUGUGCACGCGCGUGCAAGUAGGGAGAAAGGGAUUGGUUUUAUACAUUUUGUUUAUUUUUCCUUUUAU